GCUGGGGAUAUAUAGCUCAGCUGGUAGAGUGCUUGCCUUGCAUACAGAAGGCUCUGGGUUCAAUUCCCAGCAGCA
RNAcentral lists this transfer RNA (75 nucleotides) under Marmota monax (woodchuck). RNAcentral's name for it is "tRNA.Ala". The stretch from base 13 to 70 matches the Rfam family "tRNA", at positions 8 to 63 of the family's 71-position model. Rfam says of the family: Transfer RNA (tRNA) molecules are approximately 80 nucleotides in length. Their secondary structure includes four short double-helical elements and three loops (D, anti-codon, and T loops). Lineage: Eukaryota; Metazoa; Chordata; Mammalia; Rodentia; Sciuridae. The record is from RNAcentral.